This 259-nucleotide long non-coding RNA is filed under the name Gossypium barbadense (sea-island cotton). Its description in RNAcentral is "long non-coding RNA (GBAR_LNC000801)". The record is from RNAcentral. Lineage: Eukaryota; Viridiplantae; Streptophyta; Magnoliopsida; Malvales; Malvaceae.
GAGAAUGGGCAUGUACUCGACCUCACCUACUUUAUUUCCCUCGCCAUUCGUCACCAGAUGGAACGGCAUCGGAGGGGGUCAUCUCCGUUAGCCUUUACGUGACUCGACUGGCACGGCACUUCGGGCUCCUCAACACAACAGCCCAAUCAUCCUCACUUACUCUUAUUGGCUAGAUGUCCCCACAAGGCAUCUCGAGCAUGCUUAGUAUGAGGAUGAUCGAGAAGCACUGAGGAACCCACCCUCCUCAGUAGCACCUCGC